UGGGGAAUUUUGCGCAAUGGGCGAAAGCCUGACGCAGCAACGCCGCGUGUGUGAUGAAGGUCUUCGGAUCGUAAAGCACUUUCGACCGGGAAGAACAACCCUUGGCUAACAUCCAAGGGUCUGACGGUACCGGGAGAAGAAGCACCGGCUAACUCUGUGCCAGCAGCCGCGGUAAUACAGAGGGUGCAAGCGUUGUUCGGAAUUAUUGGGCGUAAAGCGCGUGUAGGCGGCUUUGCAAGUCGGGUGUGAAAGCCCUCAGCUUAACUGAGGAAGUGCGCCCGAAACUGCUUAGCUUGAGUACCGGAGAGGAUGGCGGAAUUCCCGAAGUAGAGGUGAAAUUCGUAGAUAUCGGGAGGAACACCGGUGGCGAAGGCGGCCAUCUGGACGGAUACUGACGCUGAGACGCGAAAGCGUGGGUAGCAAACAGG
This 428-nucleotide ribosomal RNA is filed under the name uncultured bacterium. Its description in RNAcentral is "bacterial SSU rRNA". It matches the Rfam family "Bacterial small subunit ribosomal RNA", at positions 355 to 776 of the family's 1533-position model. The record is from RNAcentral.